AGAGUUUGAUCCUGGCUCAGGACGAACGCUGGCGGCGUGCCUAACACAUGCAAGUCGAGCGGAGACAGUGAGUAGCUUGCUAUGAGCUGUUUUAGCGGCGGACGGGUGAGUAACGCGUGAGCAACCUUUCCCAGACAGGGGAAUAACACACCGAAAGGUGUACUAAUACCGCAUAAGACCACGGGAUCACAUGGUUCUGGGGUAAAACGAUUUAAUCGGUUUGGGGUGGGCUCGCGUCCGAUUAGGUAGUUGGUGAGGUAACGG
Molecule: ribosomal RNA, 264 nt
Filed under: uncultured bacterium
Lineage: Bacteria
Description: partial 16S ribosomal RNA
Rfam family: Bacterial small subunit ribosomal RNA
Source: RNAcentral